AUUUGAGAGCAGAAGAGUCAGGUUCUGGGACAGCUGGAGGCAGUGGUGGUGACUGGAAUAACUUUUCCAAAGGAAAGCUGUUUAGUGAACUGUCCUCUCCAGUAGAGAUGGCCAAUGGGCUUUGUAACAGUGCCAGACUGGCUUCCUAUUGCCCAGGAUUUUGCUCUUUAGUUAAAAAGGUUGUCAAUUGCAAAGACUUUUCAACUGCAAGAUCAUCAGGUUCCGAAGAGUCUCACGUGGCCUCUGCACCUCCAGAUACAUGCUUUCAAACAGUGUGGCCUGAUGAAACUAUGCGACCUUUUGGUCCUCAACACAGAGGUUCCAGCUUCCUGGGAACAUAGGUUUUGAUUGUCACCUCAAUGGGACUGGUUCACUGAAGAAAGCCUGGUUCAUAAAACUUUGCCUGGUAUUCUAGCAGAACCUUUAUCAGGUGAAAGACAAGUUUGUGAUGGCACAACGUGUGAAUGAAUUUGAGGGUAAUGAGGCAUCUGUUGAACACAAAAUUAACAGCAUAGAAACCUACUUUGAAAGUGCCAGAGUAGAGUGUGCAAUGCAGAUAUGCCCAGAAUUGCUGCAAGAGAUUUUGAAUCACUGUUUCCAGAAGUCCCUAACAGCAAACUAAUGAUUCUGACUGUAACACAAAAAACUAAGCAUGAUAUGAUUUGUUGGAAUGAAGAAGUAGAAAUUGAAAGAGAAGUUCUCUUAGAAAAAUUCAUCAGUGGUGCCAAGGAAAUUUGCUAUGCUCUUCGACCUGAGGAAUAUUGGGCUGACUUUAUUGACCCAUCAUCUGGUUUGGCAUUUUUUGGGCCAUAUACAAACAACACUCUUUUUGAAACAGAUGAAUGCUAAUGACAUUUAGGAUUCUCUGUCGAUGACCUUGGAUGCUGUAAAGUGAUUUGUCAUAGUCUCUGGGGUACCCACGUAGUUGUGGGAAGUAUCUUCACUAAUGCAACACCAGAUAGCCAUAUUAUGAAGAAAUUAAGUGGAAAUUAG
RNA transcript from Cebus imitator (Panamanian white-faced capuchin), 993 nucleotides. The record is from RefSeq and is a predicted model, not a curated record. Lineage: Eukaryota; Metazoa; Chordata; Mammalia; Primates; Cebidae.